This 72-nucleotide transfer RNA is filed under the name Ovis aries (sheep). It matches the Rfam family "tRNA". From Rfam's summary of the family: Transfer RNA (tRNA) molecules are approximately 80 nucleotides in length. Their secondary structure includes four short double-helical elements and three loops (D, anti-codon, and T loops). Further hydrogen bonds mediate the characteristic L-shaped molecular structure. tRNAs have two regions of fundamental functional importance: the anti-codon, which is responsible for specific mRNA codon recognition, and the 3' end, to which the tRNAs corresponding amino acid is attached (by aminoacyl-tRNA synthetases). tRNAs cope with the degeneracy of the genetic code in two manners: having more than one tRNA (with a specific anti-codon) for a particular amino acid; and 'wobble' base-pairing, i.e. permitting non-standard base-pairing at the 3rd anti-codon position. Lineage: Eukaryota; Metazoa; Chordata; Mammalia; Artiodactyla; Bovidae. The record is from Rfam by way of RNAcentral.
UCCUUGGUGGCUCAGUGGUAAAGAAUCUGCCUGCCUGUGCAGGAGACUCGGGUUCAAUUCCUGGCCCAGGAA